RNAcentral lists this transfer RNA (72 nucleotides) under Leiosaurus catamarcensis. RNAcentral's name for it is "tRNA-Ile". Lineage: Eukaryota; Metazoa; Chordata; Lepidosauria; Squamata; Leiosauridae. The record is from RNAcentral.
GGAAAUGUGCCUGAGUCACACCAAGGGCUGCUUUGAUAGAGCACUAUACAUGGGUUAAACCCCAUCAUUUCC